This 376-nucleotide unclassified non-coding RNA is filed under the name uncultured Actinomycetes bacterium. Its description in RNAcentral is "uncultured actinobacterium contains 16S-23S intergenic spacer region". Lineage: Bacteria; Bacillati; Actinomycetota; Actinomycetes. The record is from RNAcentral.
UCCGAGUUGACCCCGGCAGUCUCCUACGAGUCCCCGGCAUUACCCGCUGGCAACAUAGGACAAGGGUUGCGCUCGUUGCGCCACUUAAGGCAACACCUCACGGCACGAGCUGACGACAGCCAUGCACCACCUGUGCGGGCCCCGUAGGGCCCCGUGUUUCCACGGGUUUACCCCGCAUGUCAAGCCCAGGUAAGGUUCUUCGCGUUGCGUCGAAUUAAGCCACAUGCUCCGCCGCUUGUGCGGGCCCCCAUCAAUUCCUUUGAGUUUUAGCCUUGCGGCCGUACUCCCCAGGCGGGGUGCUUAAUGCGUUAGCUUCGGCACGGACGGGGUCGAUAACCGCCCACACCUAGCACCCAUCGUUUACGGCUAGGACUAC